This 258-nucleotide non-coding RNA is filed under the name Clostridiaceae bacterium. RNAcentral describes it as "T-box sequence". It matches the Rfam family "T-box leader". Rfam says of the family: Uncharged tRNA acts as the effector for transcription antitermination of genes in the T-box leader family. T-boxes are found upstream of many aminoacyl-tRNA synthetase genes and some amino acid biosynthetic genes usually in Gram-positive bacteria. The record is from RNAcentral. Lineage: Bacteria; Bacillati; Bacillota; Clostridia; Eubacteriales; Clostridiaceae.
UUAACAACAAGGAAAGAGGAAAGUAAUCUUUACUGAAGUUUACAGAGAGCCGGGAGUGCUGGAAACCGGUAACUAAGGUUAUGAUGAAGUUCCCUCUGGAGUUGUCCACUGAAAGAUAAGUAGGUGUGACCGGAAGCUUCCGCCGUUACUUGGAAGGGAAUAUUAAAAUAAGCUUUGCUUAUUGCGUAUUCUUCAGCAAAGUGGGCUUUUCAUUUAGCCAACUAAGGUGGUACCGCGGGUAAUUCCCCCGUCCUUAUA